CGGCGCUGGUAGCGUAGGCAGUGUUGGCUCCUUCGGCGGAUCUUACGGAGGCGCAUCCUACGGCGCUGGAAUCGGUUCCUACGGAUCCGGCUUUGACAGUGGAUCUUACGGAGGUGCUUCUCUCGGAGGCGCAUCUUACGGAGGUGCAUCCUACGGAUCCGGCUAUGACACUGGAUCUUACGGAGGCGCUUCUCUCGGAGGCGCAUCUUACGGAGGAUCUUACGGAUCUGGUGCUGGAUCUCUCGCCUCUUACGGAUCUCAUGGCUCAAUUGAAUCCAUCGGAUCUGGAGCCUCUUACGGUGGCAUCUCAUCUGGUUCCUACGGUGGAUCUUACGGAUCUGGUGGUCUUGAAUCUGUCGGAGGAUCUUACGGAAGCGGAGCCUCUUAUGGAGGCGGCUCAUCUUAUGGUGGAUCGUACGGAAGUGGAGCUUCCUACGGCGGAUCUUAUGGUUCCUCCAGCGACGCCAACGCCUGGAAAAACGAUUAAUUAAUACUCGUGCGAUCUCUAAAAGACUGAGAUGUGACCCUCAAAGAAAGUAUCUCUCCUCACAGACCCACGAAAGAUCGGGCUGUAAAUCAUUCAGCGUGUACAUCCAUUAAGUGCAUAACGAGGACGAGCUUUACUACCCUCAUUGCAAGGCGCUGUGAAAACAAGGGACUGUUGGGGAAAAGCAAAAAAAGUCAAUCAUUGUUCAACCUGAAGUUACCAUGUUCCACGUUACCAGUCGAACUUGUUCGUUACCUCCUUUUCGUUCGGCUAGUUCAAUCCUAUUUCAUUAUGUUAAUGAAAUUAAUGCACCAAGUGACGGCUAGUGAAUUUGCCGCAAAUUGUAGUCGUACACUUGUGCAAUAUUACGAAGUCAUUUGUAUAGUUUUUUAAAAUAAAUUUUAAUUACUAUUAGUAAAA
Bemisia tabaci is the source of this 907-nucleotide non-coding RNA. Lineage: Eukaryota; Metazoa; Arthropoda; Insecta; Hemiptera; Aleyrodidae. The record is from RefSeq and is a predicted model, not a curated record.